AUAGUUUGGUCUCUCUCUGUCAUUGAUUGUACAAUGCACACGCGUACCAGUUCAGUUUGUGAGUGUGUGAUGUGGCGGUUGGAGCCAUGUUUAUUUCGACAUUAUAGAGAACAAUGAUCUGAGACUUGCUGGUUGAAGACACUAAUGUGGUUUGACUUUCGUAUUUCUCACAUGCACCUCCCUGACUUCACUCCUCUUUUCUCUGCAGUCGGUUGCUUUCGCUUUACCACUCAAACACGCCCAUUAUGUUCCAUAGCCGGAACAUGCUUGAUUUUUUUUUUAAACUCCUGUAUGGACUACUGACUAGUAGUUAUAAUCUUCAUGUUUUUUUUUAAAAGUUUAGCUAUAGGUUAAUUGUAGGAGUCGUGCUUUGCUUACCAACUGAGGUAUACGUUAUCCAUCAUUAUUUGAGGUGACCUUUUCGGGCAUUUACUACAGUGGGUGCGUCAUUUCUUGAACAGGCCAGUAGGUGGCACUCGUCCAUGGGUCGUGCAGGGAUCCUUUCGCUUUGAUGGAUUUAAAAAUGUUUCCUUCUGCUGCGCUCAGCGCUCCAUAUUCGUGUGCACCCACGGGCCCCAAAACGUGCGCGCAAAAUAUCACUUUGCUUUGUCCGCUGCUUUAAUAGACGGUUUUCCGUAUGGGUUGCCAACUGCCACAUCGUUGGUGAAUGAAUUUUAGGCCUACAUGAACAUUAAGGGUAUCCAUCUGGCAUUUCAUGAUAUUUGAAGUGUCGUUUUUAGUCUAUUGAACUAUUCUCUACUCUACUCCAUCUUUCCACUUGCUUUAUUUUCCCGCUGAACUUUGUCUGGGUCACUGAGCUGCCCCUUAUUUUCACAUGUGUCCUGCCCCGUUACUUUUUCUCCCCUCCCCUCAUGUGUUCACUUGCCCCUCCCACUAACACACUACUCUGCUCUCUCCUCUCCUCUCACUCUCUUCCUCUCUCUCUGGAACACUCAAACCCACAGGCGUACAGAGGAGACACUCCCACACACAGCAACUCUACAGACAUGUCAGACUCCGAGACCGCCGCUCCGGCUGAGGCCCCCGUCCCUGCCGCAUGUGAAAGCAUCAAGGUGGACCUGGACAAAUGGUCCACUGCAUUGAGUCCUCCAUGUUUACCAGUAUUCCCUUCUGCACAACGAGCACUGGGCUGAAUGAUACUGGCGGUGUUUGGCGCCUGGCAGAAACCCUCCACCUCUUACCUACCCCCCCCUCGAAGCUUAAAUGGUGUCUUCCGAUUUGUAUCCCCUGCUCUGCUCCCACCGUGGCUGAGUACAUCCAUUGGUAGACAAUUCCCAGAUAGCCCAUGGGUUUUAUGUAAGUUGUCCACUUAAGAUGCAUACAUUUAAAAUGGAAUAAUAAACUCUAAAAGAAAUUGGUAUAACAUUUUG
Oncorhynchus tshawytscha (Chinook salmon) is the source of this 1391-nucleotide long non-coding RNA. NCBI's taxonomy places the organism in Eukaryota, Metazoa, Chordata, Actinopteri, Salmoniformes, Salmonidae. The record is from Ensembl.